This 439-nucleotide ribosomal RNA is filed under the name uncultured bacterium. RNAcentral describes it as "partial 16S ribosomal RNA". It matches the Rfam family "Bacterial small subunit ribosomal RNA", at positions 339 to 795 of the family's 1533-position model. The record is from RNAcentral.
CUACGGGAGGCAGCAGUGAGGAAUAUUGCACAAUGGGGGGAACCCUGAUGCAGCAACGCCGCGUGGAGGAUGACGCAUUUCGGUGUGUAAACUCCUUUUAUAUGCCAAGAAAAUGACGGUAGCAUAUGAAUAAGCACCGGCUAACUCCGUGCCAGCAGCCGCGGUAAUACGGAGGGUGCAAGCGUUACUCGGAAUCACUGGGCGUAAGGGACGCGUAGGCGGGUUGGAAAGUCAGGUGUGAAAUCCUACAGCUUAACUGUAGAACUGCACUUGAAACUUCUAAUCUAGAGUAUGGGAGGGGGAGAUGGAAUUAGUGGUGUAGGGGUAAAAUCCGUAGAUAUCACUAGGAAUACCUAAAGCGAAGGCGAUCUCCUGGAACAUUACUGACGCUAAGGCGUGAAAGCGUGGGGAGCAAACAGGAUUAGAUACCCGAGUAGUC